AUCAGUAAGCGGUGGAAAGCAAACUAAACAGGAUUCUCUUAGUAACUGCGAGUGAACAGAGACUAGCCCAACAUCGAAGCCACCAUGCGUUUGUAUGGAAGGCAAUGUGAUGUUUUGGUGUUUGAACGCACUGUCUGACUAACUUGAAGUCCAUAUUUGACUGUGGCUUGUAUUUAUACACCCAAAGAUGGUGAUAGGCCCGUUCAGGUUGGUAUUCUGGCAUGACAGUUCAGUGUGUUUUCAUUCACCAUAGAGUCGGAUUGCUUGAGAGUGCAGUCCAAAAUGGGUGGUAAACUCCAUCUAAGGCUAAAUACCUGUACGAGUCCGAUAGUCAACAAGUACCGUGAGGGAAAGUUGAAAAGUACUCUGAAGAGAGAGUAAAUAGUACGUGAAACCACAUGGAGGUUAAACAAAUAGAGUCAAGCUGCUUGCACCACACUAUUGCAAUAAGCGCAUUUGGUUGCAUGGCACUUGCCGAGACUUGAACAUGUGAUUCUGUCUACUUGUAGGCAUUCGAGCAUGUGUAUGUUGUUGAAAGGUCUUGGUGAGUGUCUGCGCUUAUUGUUUAUGGUGGGUGCUAAUGCCAUAGUCGGUUGUACUACCAAUGCGCAAUAAUCAGCGAUUGUGCGAGCUGACUUGAUGUCGUUCGUGCAAUUAGUAUAACAGUUGGCUUAAGUGGAUGCUUGCAUUUGCUUGUGUCAAAGAAGGCUGCGGCCUGUUGAUUAUUGUGAACGUUGUGAGAGUCGACCGUUUAUAUGUGCUCUUAAUUUUGUGGAAGUAAGACGGCUUGCCGGCUACUUCUAUAAAUGAGCUUAUGAGCUAUGGUAUCGUGGUAG
RNAcentral lists this ribosomal RNA (836 nucleotides) under Neobenedenia girellae. RNAcentral's name for it is "LSU rRNA". It matches the Rfam family "Eukaryotic large subunit ribosomal RNA", at positions 42 to 632 of the family's 3401-position model. Lineage: Eukaryota; Metazoa; Platyhelminthes; Monogenea; Capsalidea; Capsalidae. The record is from RNAcentral.